AGUGAACGCUGGCGGUAGGCCUAACACAUGCAAGUCGAACGGCAGCACAGUAAGAGCUUGCUCUUACGGGUGGCGAGUGGCGGACGGGUGAGGAAUACAUCGGAAUCUACUUUUUCGUGGGGGAUAACGUAGGGAAACUUACGCUAAUACCGCAUACGACCUACGGGUGAAAGCAGGGGAUCUUCGGACCUUGCGCGAUUGAAUGAGCCGAUGUCGGAUUAGCUAGUUGGCGGGGUAAAGGCCCACCAAGGCGACGAUCCGUAGCUGGUCUGAGAGGAUGACCAGCCACACGGGAACUGAGACACGGUCCAGACUCCUACGGGAGGCAGCAGUGGGGAAUAUUGGACAAUGGGCGCAAGCCUGAUCCAGCCAUACCGCGUGGGUGAAGAAGGCCUUCGGGUUGUAAAGCCCUUUUGUUGGGAAGGAAAAGCGGAAGGUUAAUACCCCGCUGUUCUGACGGUACCCAAAGAAUAAGCACCGGCUAACUUCGUG
This 492-nucleotide ribosomal RNA is filed under the name uncultured bacterium. Its description in RNAcentral is "partial 16S ribosomal RNA". It matches the Rfam family "Bacterial small subunit ribosomal RNA", at positions 29 to 507 of the family's 1533-position model. The record is from RNAcentral.